Thunnus maccoyii (southern bluefin tuna) is the source of this 954-nucleotide long non-coding RNA. RefSeq lists it as uncharacterized. Lineage: Eukaryota; Metazoa; Chordata; Actinopteri; Scombriformes; Scombridae. The transcript is spliced from 3 exons. The record is from RefSeq and is a predicted model, not a curated record.
UUUUUUCAUUUGGAAGAAGUUUGAAGUACUACAGCAUGGCUCUGAGAAAAUUACUGGGGACAAGGCCUGAUUUCCCCCUAUUCCUGCCCCCCACCCCCACUGGCAAUCAAGGCCAGAAUGAAAUGCAUGGAGUGUGAGCUGGAAGUGCAGCACACAGGUUUGAGUCCUGGUGAGACGCAGGAGGAGCCAGGACAGGAACCACCCCACAGAGUCAAGCCCCUCCAAGCACCUCAACCUCCCACCCCUGACAUAGUAGUUUGGCGGCAGCAACGGAUUAAGUGGCCUCCAGCCUCAAAAAAGAAUGAGUGGCAAGAAUAAAGGAUUGUUUGUAUUUGGCUGCUGCACUUUCAGAUCACAAUCCCAUCAAAAUGACCUGGUUAAUGGACUCGGUACAGCCACCCCCGCAAAGAUGAAGAUUUAAAACAUUUAUGCUAAAAGACUCAAAAUUCAUAACGUAUAUGAACUCUCAAAUUGAUCUGUUCCUUAAAGCCAACCUGAACUCUACCUCUAACGUAAAUAUCUGGGACGCCCUUAAGGCAUUUAUGAGAGGAUGUAUUCUGUCCUACAGUUCAUAUAGAUCAAGAGAAAAGAAAAAAGAAUUGGCUAUACUAGAUGAAGAAAUUAGAGAACUUGAACAAAAACUUUCCGAAACCAAAAGAAUGGGCAUUUUAAAUUCUUUGACUACAAAGCGAAUACAGUAUAAUUCGGUCUUUAGGUGUGACGUAACACCCUCUCAAAAUACUAUUUCUGGGUCCACACACUCUGUCAGAUACUCAAAACAAACGACAAUGGUGGAACCUGUGAACUUGUUUACAAUCACUUCUUUCUUCAGUGAGGUACCUGAGAGAGUGAAAAAAGGUUUAAAUUCCUUCAAUUCCAACAGAGUGGUCAGUGUAGCUGUUCUGCCUGGUGGAAUAACAAAGGGUAGUGUCCAGGCAUCACAGAAAAAGAGUU